CGUAGCUCAUUAUUCAUUUUAAUGAAUGAGUUCAACGAAGCUUUUAUUGAGUCGAUAUUCUAAGUAGCUUACAUGCAACUUUGCUCAUUCACAAUGCUAUUGGUUACAUCUCAAGAUAUAAACUAAGCAAGUGUACUAUGCCAUAUUUUUAAGGUUCUUUAAAGCCAUUAGUGUGGAGAGAUAUAGCUCAUUUUUAAGAGAAUGGGACGUGAAUUAAUAAUGGAAGUGUUGGUAAUUGUUUGUACAUAAGAUAUUGUAAAUGACACUGUUGACUGUACUUGUUGCUUUCUUGGUUUUCUAGCUAAAUUCCUUUUCUCUAUAUGUGAAUUUGUUCUCUUGUCAUUUUACUUUUGUUUCUUUUAGGCCUUCUCUACUUGUCACUAAUUGUAUUUCUGCAGGUUUUCAUUAUCAUCCAUGUGGUGGCUUUUGUGUAUUAUAUUAAAGGGAUUCUCUCUCCAAAAAUGUUUAAAGUAGCUGUUA
This 480-nucleotide unclassified non-coding RNA is filed under the name Hevea brasiliensis (rubber tree). The record is from RNAcentral. Lineage: Eukaryota; Viridiplantae; Streptophyta; Magnoliopsida; Malpighiales; Euphorbiaceae.